Molecule: non-coding RNA, 108 nt
Filed under: Halobacillus karajensis
Lineage: Bacteria; Bacillati; Bacillota; Bacilli; Caryophanales; Bacillaceae
Description: SAM-I sequence
Rfam family: SAM riboswitch aptamer (S box leader)
About the family: The SAM riboswitch is found upstream of a number of genes which code for proteins involved in methionine or cysteine biosynthesis in Gram-positive bacteria.
Source: Rfam by way of RNAcentral
CACUUAUCCAGAGAGGCGGAGGGACAGGCCCUGCGAUGCCCAGCAACCGGCAAGUUUGUUUGUACGGUGCUAAUUCCUGCGAAGUCUGUAGACUUUGAUAGAUGAGAA